Molecule: long non-coding RNA, 683 nt
Filed under: Homo sapiens (human)
Lineage: Eukaryota; Metazoa; Chordata; Mammalia; Primates; Hominidae
Description: HSALNT0303226
Source: RNAcentral
CCCACAACCACCCCUCUCAAUGAUACAGGAGGAGAAGAAGGAGAUUAAGAGAAAAAGGAAAAGAAUUGGAGGCUGGUUUAAGUUCCUGUGACAGACACUUUGGAAAGAUCCAAUGGCAAAGGAACUGCACCUUAUUUCCUGGACAAUUGGCAUUUAGGAGAGAAUUCUGAGCAGGAGAAAUGAAUUUGGCAUCAUCAUCAUGUAGCUGGUAUUUUAAAGCAUGAGGUUGAAUGAAAUCACCAAGGAAAAGACCGGGGAGGUGGUAGACUUCUUGUAAACUUUGCACCCAGGUUAGGAUGGAUUCAGUAGAGAAGGAUGUAAAGGAUCAGGCUGAAAUCAGGAGGACUUUGUCUGAAACUGUACCCUUGCCUGAUGUCUUCUCCUUACUCUCCUGCUCUCCAAUGCCCCUCAGUUUCUCCUGGAGUACUUCCUUAAUAAAUUGCUUCCACACAAAUCCUCAUCUCAGCAUCUGUUUGUGGGGAACUUCACCUAAGACAAAAGUUAUGCUAGAUAAGCUUAGUUGCAGAAAAAAAUUAAAAUGCACAGUUCUUGCAUCCCUGAGUUUGUAGCUUGAGCCUGGUACCUGCUGUGAAUAUAAUGCAGUAUAUGCUGCAAUCAAAAUGUGUACAAAGAAAUGGCACAUGGUAUAGUGGGGGAAUCAGAAAGAGCUUCCUGGAGGAUGA